Long non-coding RNA from Labrus bergylta (ballan wrasse), 2260 nucleotides. RefSeq lists it as uncharacterized. Lineage: Eukaryota; Metazoa; Chordata; Actinopteri; Labriformes; Labridae. The record is from RefSeq and is a predicted model, not a curated record.
AACAGUCUAUUGUCAGUUGUAUCUACAUACCUGCAGGUCCUCAUGCUUGAUGUGUGAACUGCUGAUUGUCAUUAUUACAACACACAAGCUAUGCAACAGGAUAUACUGUUCUAUUGAGAUACAUUUCUAUAGUUUAACCCAUAUUUACGAUAUUGUAAUCAUUGUUAAUUAAACUACAUUUGAACAGGUGCACCUGUGGAGAGUGCAGGAUGAUGCCCACAGAUGUGGAAAAUGUGUGCUGCAAGCAGCUUAACGCCGUUCAGAAUACAUGUCUGGAGCCUCCAGAGGAGCCAGACUGCAUGACUCUUAAUCCAGGCCUUGAGCCUGUCUGCCUGAACCCCUACUCCCUGCAGAAUGCUCUGAACAUUUAUCAGACAGACCAUGGACCGCUGGAGAUGAAGGAGAGAGCUGUUUAAGUCUGAAAACUGCAUAUUUAUGUAUUACAAUGUAUUACAUUCACAAAAGUUCUAGAUCAGUGGUACUCAGCCUUGUUAGACUUAAGAGCCACAUUGACCAAAAAAUAUUUCAGUAAGAGCCACAAUCAAAAAACCUAUUUCUUACCUAAAAUAUGUGUGGGAAACACAGUGACAUGACUUGCAAAGAAUAAUUUCUGCUGACAAUGUUUCCCUUUUUUAAAUAAUUACUUAUUUUCUUUGAUUUUUCUUUUUCAAACUAGUCCCAAGUGAGCCACAUGUGGCUCGAGAGCCUCAGGUUAAGUAUCACUGCUCUGGACAGGACAAACACAAGGUAGUGAACAUCCAAAAAUUACAAAUGUAUGGUUGUGGAUAAUUCAUGGAAGUUAAAACAGAGAAAGAAAAAAAACCAAAUGUCCAGGCCAAUCCAUACAGCCAAAUAGAUUUCAGACACACUGCAGGUUGAUCCAUCUGUCAUCUUCUUGGAUCAUAAUCUACUUUAUAAGACAGAAAACAUGACAAAACAAGAUUAGAAGACCACUUAACUCAAAAUAAAGCUUGAUGAAUAUAAAAUCACAUUGCUUUUUUGUGUUUGUCAUUAUAGGUGCGCUCGCUACCUGGCCUACAGGUCCUUUGUUUCCUGGUGCUGGGGAUACCUAGGAAAGCACAACCGGGUAGUGAUACCUUCCUGCGUCGUUGUCCGUAUAUCCACCAGGAGUACCCUGAUGAAGGGGAAGAGUACACCGGUUUUAGGCCUCCACUUUAAAUGAUUUAUGUCAUGUAUAGUUAUGUUUGGACAUGUGUUUUAUAGAGUUAUUUCAUUUAUAUAAUAAACUAUUAAUAUCUUGAUUUUACUUUACAGGGACUUUAAGGAACUGCAGGAUUUUGCAAUUCAGUAUUGGAGGUUGCUGCUUGGUGGCAUAUCAUUCUUAUCCAUGUACUUUAAAUACACCCUAAAAACAUUUCAGCUGAUAUUUGGUUGAUAUUUUUGAGUUUAUCAGUUAUUUUCUCUUUUCAUGAGCUACCAUGACAAAUGAAUUUCCCCUAUACCAGAUCAACUGAACUAAUCAAAUAUCUUAAUCACAAUGUUUGUUUUAUUAGAAAGAAUUAUAUGAUCACUUCAUUGUAGAUGACAGACAUAUUAGACUUGCUUUAUAUUAUGAAAACACAUUUUGACGUGUGUCAAGACAAUUGGGAUUUAAGGUUCAAGAUUUCCAUGGCAUAGUGAAAACAAUGAAAUUCUCUGAAUUGUUUUUCAUUUUAUUUAUUACAUCAGUGAAAUCACACCAAGCUUUGUGAAAAUGAUUAUUACCUGUUUGCAUUGAAUAAAUGUGAUUCUAAAGUUAGUUUAAAGACAUCAGUUACAUCAAGUGAUAAAAAACUGAAACUUAAUGUGUCCGACUAAAAUAUCACUGACUUUUCAAUUUUGUGACCUUGUUUAUAUGAACAGCAUACCUUUAAAGUCAAACAUAAAAAAGGCAAUUUGUCAUGGUGUUAGUUUCUGAUGCAUUUGGUGUCACUUUGUGUUUGUUUUCUUUCCUUCUGUUUUCUGUUUUCUCUCUUGCAGUGUGUGUGCAGCGCAGGGCGUGGCUGGCUGAGCUGGAACGAGGAGCACCUGAAUCUCAUCAGAUCAUCACUCAGGCCUUAAAGACAGAUCGAGACUCAUCUCCUGUGCCAGAUUAUUCCCUUUGUAGUUGCCUGCCGGUGAACCUCACCUCCUUGUUUUGGACUUCUGUUUGGCCUUGCUGUUUUUUGAGUUCUCCUGCGCCAGCCCGUCCUCUAUUGCCACCAACUGCCUUAAGCCUUUUAUUUUGCUAUAAGCUACAUUAAAAUGUCUUAAAGACUGA